This 1107-nucleotide ribosomal RNA is filed under the name Paracaprella pusilla. RNAcentral describes it as "partial large subunit ribosomal RNA". It matches the Rfam family "Eukaryotic large subunit ribosomal RNA", at positions 83 to 901 of the family's 3401-position model. The record is from RNAcentral. Lineage: Eukaryota; Metazoa; Arthropoda; Malacostraca; Amphipoda; Caprellidae.
GUAGUGGCGAACGAAAAGGAAUGAGCCCAGCGCAGAACGUUCCGGGGCACUCGCCCUGAGAAUGAAUGUUGCGUUAAGGAUAUUGGCAUACACCCAUGGCAGUUACACUUUGCUAAGUCAGCCUCGAAUGGUUCUCGUGAAGCCGGUAACACGGUGAGACUCCAGGGAGGGUGUUAGACCCGUGUGAAGGUGCAAUCUGCUUGGGCAAGCCGAUAUCCCGAGAGUCGCGUUGUUUGAACAUGCAGCGCUAAGCAGGUCGUAGACUCGAUCUAAGGCUAAAUAUGUCCACAGAACCGAUAGUUAACAAGUACCGUGAGGGAAAGUUGAAAAGCACUCCGUAACGGAGAGUCAAAAGACCGUGAAACCACUCAGAGUAUAAGCCAAUGGUGUCUGGAAGGUCCUGUGCUUACAUCUUGGUGUCAAGGACUCAUGCGAACCUCAGCACUUGCGGGAGCAAUCUCCGUUGCUUUGGUAAGCUUGUCCGCUGAAGCACUCCGUUGACCCACCUGGCUCGUUGUGAGGUGUCCUGAGAGCAAAGCGAAGUGUUAAGAUUGGCUUGGAGUUGGGCGUGGGCGUCUCGAUGCCUUUCGCACUCUCCUUUUCGAGCACUUCUUCAGUUCUAUUCGCACAAAGUGUGGUAGUCUUGGAGUGUGCGCUGCUUGACGCUCUCUGGAACCAUCCUCUGCGACGAAGCUUCAAUGCCUUAGUGAGCGGCCGUCUUCCUCCUCGGGAGUCGGUACAUUGGCGCGGCUUGCACACUGUCGGUGCUCCGCUGUUCAACUCUGGCGCAAGGUGUUACGUCCGAUACCAUUGGUCACGUCUCGAAACACGGGCCAAGGAGUAUAGCGUGUGUGCAAGUCUAAGGGUUCCACAAAACCUGGAGGCGUAGUGAAAGCGAGUUAUGGUGUCUCACUGGACUGAUGGAGAAGGCAGUGAUGCGUGAUCCCGCAAGUCCCGGACUCGUCGUCUGCACUGCUUCGGUUGUGUUAGCGCGAGCACCGCAGAGCACAUACGCUAUGACCCGAAAGAUAGUGAACUAUGCUUGGCGAGGGUGAAGCCCCAGGAAACUGGGGUGGAGGCCCGUAGCCGUUGUGACGUGCAAAUCCA